Molecule: ribosomal RNA, 487 nt
Filed under: Ruegeria pomeroyi
Lineage: Bacteria; Pseudomonadati; Pseudomonadota; Alphaproteobacteria; Rhodobacterales; Roseobacteraceae
Description: bacterial SSU rRNA
Rfam family: Bacterial small subunit ribosomal RNA
Source: RNAcentral
GCCGCGUGAGUGAUGAAGGCCCUAGGGUCGUAAAGCUCUUUCGCCAGGGAUGAUAAUGACAGUACCUGGUAAAGAAACCCCGGCUAACUCCGUGCCAGCAGCCGCGGUAAUACGGAGGGGGUUAGCGUUGUUCGGAAUUACUGGGCGUAAAGCGCGCGUAGGCGGAUCAGAAAGUUGGGGGUGAAAUCCCGGGGCUCAACCCCGGAACUGCCUCCAAAACUCCUGGUCUUGAGUUCGAGAGAGGUGAGUGGAAUUCCGAGUGUAGAGGUGAAAUUCGUAGAUAUUCGGAGGAACACCAGUGGCGAAGGCGGCUCACUGGCUCGAUACUGACGCUGAGGUGCGAAAGUGUGGGGAGCAAACAGGAUUAGAUACCCUGGUAGUCCACACCGUAAACGAUGAAUGCCAGUCGUCGGGUAGCAUGCUAUUCGGUGACACACCUAACGGAUUAAGCAUUCCGCCUGGGGAGUACGGUCGCAAGAUUAAAACU